Molecule: ribosomal RNA, 824 nt
Filed under: uncultured Nocardioides sp.
Lineage: Bacteria; Bacillati; Actinomycetota; Actinomycetes; Propionibacteriales; Nocardioidaceae
Description: bacterial SSU rRNA
Rfam family: Bacterial small subunit ribosomal RNA
Source: RNAcentral
AGUCGCAAUUACAGGGGGCACCCCCGUUGGGGAAGGCGUUCUUCUGGGAAAGACCUCACCGGAGGAGGGAAAAGUGUGGGGACGCACACAGGAUUAGAUACCUUCGUAGUCCCCACCGUAAAAGUUGGGCGCUUAGGUGUGGGUUCCAUUCCCGGGAUUCCGUCCCGCAGGUACCGCAUUAAGCGCCCCGCCUGGGGAGUACGCCCGCAAGGCUAAACUUCAAAGGAAUUGACGGGGGCCCGCACAAGCGGCGGAGCAUGCGGAUUAAUUCGAUGCAACGCGAAGAACCUUACCUGGGUUUGACAUACACCCUGCCGCUCCAGAGAUGGGGCUUCUUUUGGGGGUGUACAGGUGGUGCAUGGCUGUCGUCAGCUCGUGUCGUGAGAUGUUGGGUUAAGUCCCGCAACGAGCGCAACCCUCGUUUUACGUUGCCAGCACGUAAUGGUGAGGACUCAUAGGAGACUGCCGGGGUCAACUCGGAGGAAGGUGGGGAUGACGUCAAAUCAUCAUGCCCCUUAUGUCUUGGGCUUCACGCAUGCUACAAUGGCCGGUACAAAGGGCUGCGAAACCGCGAGGUGGAGCGAAUCCCAAAAAACCGGUCUCAGUUCGGAUUGGGGUCUGCAACUCGACCCCAUGAAGUCGGAGUCGCUAGUAAUCGCAGAUCAGCAACGCUGCGGUGAAUACGUUCCCGGGCCUUGUACACACCGCCCGUCAAGUCACGAAAGUCGGUAACACCCGAAGCCGGUGGCCCAACCCUUGUGGGGGGAGCCGUCGAAGGUGGGACUGGCGAUUGGGACUAAGUCGUAACAAGGUAAAUGCGCAAA